Cinara cedri is the source of this 217-nucleotide non-coding RNA. The record is from the annotation of a GenBank genome assembly. Lineage: Eukaryota; Metazoa; Arthropoda; Insecta; Hemiptera; Aphididae.
AUAAAACUAUUUUAAAAUCGUAAUAAACAAACAAUGGCUAUUAGUUAACCAUGUAGACAAAUUGGUUUUAUUUCGUCUAAGAACAUACGAGUUUAAUCGUUCUACGAGUUAUUGUCAGAAAAGACAACCAUAUACAAACGUCAUAAUCCCUUUUGAGCUUGUACAUACGUCUGUAAUUUAAUUUUCGAUAAAAACAUAAUAAUCCUCUUUUACGUCG